This 672-nucleotide ribosomal RNA is filed under the name uncultured Lake Michigan sediment bacterium LMBA40. RNAcentral's name for it is "bacterial SSU rRNA". It matches the Rfam family "Bacterial small subunit ribosomal RNA", at positions 784 to 1482 of the family's 1533-position model. The record is from RNAcentral. Lineage: Bacteria; Pseudomonadati; Bacteroidota.
UCCCCUGGAGUCCACGCUAUAAACGAUGAUUACUAGAUGUUGGGUGAAUAGCUCAGUGACCAAGGGAACCGAUAAGUAAUCCACCUGGGGAGUACGCCGGUAACGGUGGAACUCAAAGGAAUUGACGGGGUCCGCACAAGCGGUGGAGCAUGUGGUAUAAUUCGAUGAUACGCGAGGAACCUUACUAGGCUAGAAUGUGAGCGAAUGUUUCAGAGAUGGAAUAGUCAGCAAUGACGCGAAACAAGUGCUGCAUGGCCGUCGUCAGUUCGUGCCGUGAGGUGUUGGGUUAAGUCCCGCAACGAAGCAACCCCUAUAUUCUGUUGCCAGCACGUUAAGGUGGGGACUCAGGAAAGACUGCCUACCAAGUAGAGAGGAAGGAGGGGACGACGUCAGGUCAUCAUGGCCCUUACGCCUAGGGCGAACACGUGAUACAAUGGUGGGUACAGAGUGCAGCAAGCUGGCAACAGCAAGCGAAUCACAAAAGCCUAUCACAGUUCGGAUUGGGGUCUGCAACUCGACCCUAUGAAGCUGGAAUCGCUGUAGUCGCAUAUCAGCCAUGAUGCGGUGAAUACGUUCCCGGACCUUGUACACACCGCCCUCAAGCCAUGGGAGUUGGGUAGACCUGAAGCGGAAGGUUAAAGACUUCGUUAGGGUAGACCAGUGACUGGGGCU